This 143-nucleotide small nuclear RNA is filed under the name Neogale vison (American mink). RNAcentral's name for it is "Neovison vison (American mink) U4 spliceosomal RNA (ENSNVIG00000024557.1)". The stretch from base 1 to 72 matches the Rfam family "U4 spliceosomal RNA". From Rfam's summary of the family: U4 small nuclear RNA (U4 snRNA) is a component of the major U2-dependent spliceosome. The structure of U4 snRNA from yeast and human has been reported. Lineage: Eukaryota; Metazoa; Chordata; Mammalia; Carnivora; Mustelidae. The record is from RNAcentral.
AAGGUUGCGCAGUGGCAGUAUCGUAGCCAAUGAGGUUUAUCCCAGGUGCGAUUACUGCUAAUUGAAAUAAAAGGUUGUGGGGACGCCUGGGUGGCUCAGUUGGUUAAGCAGCUGCCUUCGGCUCAGGUCAUGAUCCCAGGCUC